RNAcentral lists this ribosomal RNA (1416 nucleotides) under Frostius erythrophthalmus. RNAcentral's name for it is "partial 16S ribosomal RNA". It matches the Rfam family "Bacterial large subunit ribosomal RNA", at positions 133 to 2597 of the family's 2925-position model. The record is from RNAcentral. Lineage: Eukaryota; Metazoa; Chordata; Amphibia; Anura; Bufonidae.
GCUAAAAAUCUAGCCAUAUACUUAUGUAUAAAAAUACCCAAUUUUUCCUUUAAACUAAAUCAUUUUACCAUUUUAGUAAAGGUGAUUAAAAAAAUAUUAAGAGCUAUACAAAUUGUACCGAAAGGGAAAGAUGAAAUAAUAGUGAAAACUUUUCAGCACUAUAAAGUAGAGUUUUACCCUCGUACCUUUUGCAUCAUGGUUUAACUAGCCUAAUCAAGCAAAACGCAUUUAAGUUUGACCUCCCGAAACUAAGUGAGCUACUUCAAGGCAGCUAAAGAGCGAACUCGUCUCUGUAGCAAAAGAGUGAGAAGACCUUCAAGUAGUGGUGACAGACCUAACGAACUCAGUGAUAGCUGGUUACUUAAGAAAAGAAUUUUAGUUCUACCUAAAGCAUUAUAAGUUUUUAUAAACAUCAAACAAUCUUUAGAGUUAUUCAAAUAAGGUACAGCCUAUUUGACCCAGGACACAACCUAAAACAAUGGAUAUACUAAACGCAAACUAUAAUUAAGUAGGCUUAAGAGCAGCCACCUUUUGAAUAGCGUCACAGCUUAAUUUUACCACAUGUUUUAUUCCAAACCCCCAUUUUACUCCUCUAUAUUUAUUAAGUACUUCUAUAGUAAUAUAGAAAAUUUUAUGUUAAAACUAGUAACAAGAAGACAACCUUCUCAUAAAUGUAAGUGUAAAUCAGAAUGGAUUAACCACUGAUACCUAACGCACCUGAUCUUAAAGUAACAACACAUCAAGAAAAUAUUACUUUACUUAUCGUUAAUCUAACACAAGAACAUUUCAAGAAAGAUAAAAAGAAAAAGAAGGAACUCGGCAAACAUUAACCCCGCCUGUUUACCAAAAACACCGCCUCUUGACACCUUAUAAGAGGUCUAGCCUGCCCAGUGACAGAUUAAACGGCCGCGGUAUCCUAACCGUGCGAAGGUAGCGUAAUCACUUGUUCUCUAAAUAAGGACUAGUAUGAAUGGCUCCACGAGGGUUAUACUGUCUCCUUUCUCCUAUCAGUGAAACUAAUCUCCCCGUGAAGAAGCGGGGAUAAAAUUAUAAGACGAGAAGACCCUAUGGAGCUUAAAACUUAAACCAUCUGCUACAAAUACUUUUAUUUCCAGAAUUAAAAUUUCCCUAGCUACAUGACCUCUGUUUUAGGUUGGGGUGACCAUGGAGAAUAAUACAUCCUCCAAACUAAAUGAAUUUCAUUCUAAGCCAAGAUUAACAACUCUAAGCAUCAAUAUAUUGAUAUCCAUUGACCCAAAUAUUUUGAUCACUGAACCAAGUUACCCUAGGGAUAACAGCGCAAUCCUCUUCAAGAGCUCAUAUCGACAAGCGGGUUUACGACCUCGAUGUUGGAUCAGGACUCCCCAAGUGGUGCAGCCGCUACUAUAGGUUCGUUUGUUCAACGAUUAAAGUCCU